Molecule: ribosomal RNA, 502 nt
Filed under: uncultured Levilinea sp.
Lineage: Bacteria; Bacillati; Chloroflexota; Anaerolineae; Anaerolineales; Anaerolineaceae
Description: bacterial SSU rRNA
Rfam family: Bacterial small subunit ribosomal RNA
Source: RNAcentral
CUAUGCGCCUUCGCCACGCCCGCUACAGAAACUACAAAGGAAUUGACGGGCCCCGCACAAGCAGCGGAGCGUGUGGUUUAAUUCGAUGCUACACGAAGAACCUUACCAGGGUUUGACAUACAAGUAGUAGGGAAAGGAAACUGGACCGACCCUUCGGGGAGCUUGAACAGGUGCUGCAUGGCUGUCGUCAGCUCGUGUCGUGAGAUGUUCGGUUAAGUCCGCUAACGAGCGCAACCCUCGCUGUGUGUUACAAGUGUCACACGGAACUGCCGGUCAUAAACCGGAGGAAGGUGGGGAUGACGUCAAGUCAGCAUGGCCUUUAUAUCCUGGGCUACACACACGCUACAAUGGGAAGGGACAAUAGGUUGCGAAACCGCGAGGUGGAGCCAAUCCAGCAAAACUUCCCUCAGUUCAGAUUGCAGGCUGCAACUCGCCUGCAUGAAGUUGGAGUUGCUAGUAAACGCAGGUCAGCCAUACUGCGUUGAAUACGUUCCCGGGGCUU